This 108-nucleotide ribosomal RNA is filed under the name Paramormyrops kingsleyae. The record is from RNAcentral. Lineage: Eukaryota; Metazoa; Chordata; Actinopteri; Osteoglossiformes; Mormyridae.
UCCAGCAGCCAUACCACCUGAAGUUCAGACUAAGUAAUUCAUGUGAGGCUAAGCAGGUUUGGUCCUGGUCAGUACAUGGAUGGGAGGAAAGCUGGGCUGCUGCUGGAA